Long non-coding RNA from Anguilla rostrata (American eel), 1013 nucleotides. RefSeq lists it as uncharacterized. NCBI's taxonomy places the organism in Eukaryota, Metazoa, Chordata, Actinopteri, Anguilliformes, Anguillidae. The record is from RefSeq and is a predicted model, not a curated record. The transcript is spliced from 4 exons.
CAUCCCAUUAAUUGAACUGUUCUUUCACCUGCACGUGCCUGCUAAUCCUACGCAACGGAUGAAGUAAAAACUUCAUGCCGGACAGAGUUAUUGAAUUCUGACUCCCGAAUUGCCUUGCAGAAGCUCUGCGAUUCACAGUGGUUUUGGAAGACUGCAGUUUCGCCUGACAGUCCUCCACACUUCUUUUCACUGCAGUCCACUGGCUGAGCCCGGCUGUCAUCUUCACACCAGAGAACUAUAAUUCAUGCGGCUGGCCCCGGAAGGCUGCGGAGCGCGCUUGUGUAAUGAGGUUUCUGGAAGCGCGAUCGCCUUGGGAAGCAGCGCCGGCCGGGUUCAGACAUCCUGAGUGAUGUCAUCGCCCGCGGCUCCACCGCUCGCGCCGCGCGGACGCGCCUCGGCCCGGUGAUUGACAGGUCCCCCCACGGCAGCCGCGAAGGCUCGGAGGCGGAAGCGCCGGACCGUGCGCGAGCUCUUUUCUGCUGUCAUGAACUUGUUAAUUCCAGGAUCUACUUAUUAAAUUCUAUUUUUGAAUAGCUGCCAGUGUUGGAUUUUCUUUGCAAAGAGGGAGGUAGAGAGGGUUGUUCAGAGACCCGCACCUGUUCAGACCUUUCGUAUUUAUCUCAUGAAAAGACAUUAAUCCCCGCAAAUUGAGGGGAAUUUACUCUUUGCUGUCACAAAAUACAUGACUCUUUCUUGCCCUUGCAGCGGUGUCGCUUUGAUGCCGACUUCUCAGAUGCACACAAGCCAUUUAUAACACUGAGAGCCUGGAUGUGGCCUUGUCCAAAAUACCCCAUGCCAGGCUUUGGGGAGUUAUUGCUUUUUUGUUGGUGAGGCACACAGGCGUGGUUCUUGCCGCCUGUGUCCUAAUGGGGAAGCAGAUGAGGGCUGGAUUGCGGGCGAGCGAGGGCGGUCUGGCUGCUCACGAGCCCUCUCUCCUCAGCGUGCUUCCCUCUAGAGCGGGGCUGGCGUUGUCCAUUAGUUUAAAUUACGCGGCAAAGCGCGUCUCUGCAUGC